Carassius carassius (crucian carp) is the source of this 6088-nucleotide RNA transcript. It is a transcript of the gene named ArfGAP with GTPase domain, ankyrin repeat and PH domain 3, with no coding region annotated. Lineage: Eukaryota; Metazoa; Chordata; Actinopteri; Cypriniformes; Cyprinidae. The transcript is spliced from 19 exons. The record is from RefSeq and is a predicted model, not a curated record.
GAAGUGUGUCCAUGAUAUUACAUUUUUAAAGGUAGAAUCACAUUGCUUCACCAAGACAAAGUUGGUGAAAAUCUGUAUGAAGUUCUGUUUUCCAGAAUGGGACUCCAGGAGGAGGUACAGACUAUGACGCCUUCAGGAGGGGCUGAGAGAAGAGGAGAGGCUGAGCUAGUAGUUGUAAAAAACAUUGUGGGAGAGGAGGAGGAGGGUGACGAAAGACAAGAGGCGGAUCAGAGGGAGGAACGUCAAGAAAGCCCGGGGCAGAGGAGGAGUGCAGUUGGAAAGCCCAACAGGUGGCUUUACCUGAGCGGCACAGGGAAUGGGGGGUGGAGCAAAGGGGAGGUACUAGGAAUGAGGACAGACCAGUUACCUCCUUUACUCCAGGACAGCUGUUUGAAGCAAACGUCUGCGGAAGAUAAAUCAUGGACCAGAGAACUCGGUGCUGAUGCUUGCCACAUUCCCAUUAAGGAACUAAAUUGUAAUGCUGUUUUUCUGGAAAAUGCAACAGAACCUCAUGUGGCGGUCUUGCGAAGGCCUGCACAUGGGCUUCGGCUCCUGGGCAGCAGAAGAGCCGUGAGCAUGUUCGUCUUUCCAGACGAUAACAGGAGACACCAAAACACAGCGAUCAACCACCAAGACAGCUCUACAAAACCUCUCAGUGAUUGUAUGUUGACAGCUACCCACUCAAACAGCAAUCUCCUGCCUACCUCGAUCCUAAAUAAGCAAGGUUGCCCAGAUGUGGUCCAGCGGUGUAGGACAAGACGUGCUGAGCUGCGUGCGAUAGACGGUCUAAAACCAGACAUGCCACCUUCUGUCAGCUUGUUUCCUCUUCCACUAGAAGAACCGCCAAUACGUCGGACUUUAAAAAGCAAGAACAAACCGCGGCCUGUUAGCAUGACUGUUCUUGAGCUUAAUAAAGAGCGUAUUGGAUGCCGGGAUAAGCUCGCAAACGAUGCUUCCACUUUCACUGGUAGUUUGCCUCGUCCGGGCUUCCGAUAUAGAUGGUUUGGUCGACAGGCAACUGCAAAGGAAGUGGUGGCGAAACAAACUUCAACAAGGCUAAAGGAACCCAAGAAGACAGAAGAACCUAAGACAACAUUCGGAUCCCUCCGGAGGAGCUUGAGUCUAAGGAUGAGGCGGAAUCGUAAUCAUCCCGAGCAGGAGAAUCGGACUGAAUGGAGACGCACUUCAAGUAUCGGAGAACAAUCUAUGCAAACCACUCGCCCAUUUUCCUAUCUUACUGGUAAGAUGUUAACGCCAGCUCAUGAGCAAGAUGAGGAUCAAGGGGCCACACAGUGCUUUCAGUACCAAACUCGGGGCAGAGUGGCCAUCUUGGAGGUUCCUCUCCAUCCUGCCAAACUAACAAAGCCCACCAAACAUUUGCAACCUGAGACUAGUUUUUGGCAGCUAAUUACUAGUCGUUUUAAGAGGAAAGACCCAUUGUCCAGCAACAAAUCUGAGCUGUGCACUGAAAGCCAAGCAGUUGGCAGCCACCCCCCUGCAAGAAAUAAAAAGCCAGAUUCUGUUGCUAUAGAGACUCUAGCUGGCAUUGGUUUCUGCAAAGGUCAAGAUUCCUUCGUUAACAGUCAGGAAUGGACAUUAAGUCGAUCAGUACCAGAGCUCAAAGUGGGCAUCGUGGGAAACCUGUCCAGUGGGAAGUCAGCAUUAGUUCACCGGUAUCUGACAGGAACAUAUGUCCAGGAGGAGUCGCCCGAGGGAGGGAGGUUUAAAAAGGAGAUUGUGGUGGAUGGACAGAGUUAUCUCUUGCUGAUCAGGGAUGAAGGCGGCCCACCAGAACUGCAGUUUGCUGCCUGGGUGGACGCGGUGGUGUUCGUCUUCAGCUUGGAGGAUGAGAUCAGCUUCCAGACAGUUUAUAACUACUUCCUGCGUCUCUCCAGCUACAGGAACACGGCAGAGGUUCCCAUGGUGCUGGUGGGGACGCAGGAUGCCAUCAGCGCUGCCAACCCAAGAGUGAUAGAUGACGCUCGGGCUAGGAAGCUGUCCAAUGACCUGAAACGCUCCACGUAUUAUGAAACUUGCUCCACCUAUGGUCUUAACGUGGAGAGAGUCUUUCAAGAUGUUGCUCAGAAAGUGGUGGCACUGAGGAAAAAACAGCAGCUUUCGAUUGGUCCGUGUAAAUCUCUGCCCAACUCUCCCAGCCACUCGUCCGUCCCAGCCGCGUCUAUCCCCUCUGUACACAUCAAUCAGGCUGCUAAUGGAGGAGGCACGUUCAACGAUUACUCCUCCUCCGUUCCCUCCACCCCCAGCAUAAGCCAGAGGGAAAUGCGCAUCGAGACGGUGGCCGCCUCCAACACUCCCACGCCCAUCCGCAAGCAGUCCAAACGGCGCUCCAACAUCUUCACAUCAUGGAAAGCCAGUGAUCAGACAAAGAGCAUUGAGAAUAAAACUGACAGUAUAGGGAGUGGAAGGGCCAUACCCAUCAAACAGGGGAUUUUGUUAAAAAGAAGCGGGAAGUCACUUAAUAAGGAGUGGAAAAAGAAAUACGUCACGCUGUGUGACAACGGUCUGCUCACGUACCACCCCAGUUUACAUGACUACAUGCAGAACGUCCACGGUAAAGAAAUUGAUUUGCUGCGGACGACAGUAAAGGUACCCGGGAAGAGGCCGCCCAGAGCAGUGGCAACGGUCGCCCCUACAGCCAGCCCCAAAACCAACGGACUGACCAAAGACCGCAGCACUUUACAACUCGGCAUCGGGGCCACAAGCACUCCUCACUCGAACAGCAGCAGUUCCCUGCAGUCCGGGGGUUCAGCGGCCGGUGUGGCUUUGGGGACUAGUAAAGAGGGAAUGCACCAGCGCUCGUUCUCCGUGUCCAGCGCAGAACAGUGGAGUGAGGCUGUUAUCAGCACCACCGCAGCCAAUGGGAUGGCAGAUCCUCUCAGCUCCGCCCCUGGCAUGAGCAGCGCCACCAGUCCCAAACUUGAGCCUCCACCAUCACCUCACGCCAACCGCAAGAAACACAGACGGAAAAAGAGCACAGGCAUCACCAAACCGGACGGCCUUUCUGCAGGGAAUGAAGAGCAAGAGGAGUCAUUUGAGUUCAUCAUUGUGUCCCUGACGGGUCAGAUGUGGCACUUUGUGGCGUCCACGUAUGAGGAGAGAGAACUCUGGGUUCAGGCCAUUGAGAGCCAGAUAUUUGCCAGCCUACAGUGCUGUGAGAGCAGCAAGAACAAGUCUCGAUUAGGAAGCCAGAGUGAUGCAGUGACCAUCCAGUCCAUCAGGAACAUGAGGGGAAACAGCUUCUGUGCAGACUGUGACGCUCCCAAUCCGGACUGGGCCAGUCUGAACCUUGGCGCUCUGAUCUGUAUCGAGUGCUCCGGGAUGCACAGGAACCUGGGCACCCAUCUGUCCCGCGUACGGUCUCUGGACCUGGACGACUGGCCUGUGGAGCUCAGCAUGGUGAUGACGGCCAUCGGGAACGCCAUGGCCAACAGUGUAUGGGAGGGCUGUGUGGAAGGAUACACCAAACCUGGGGUGGACAGCACCAGGGAAGUGAAGGAGCGCUGGAUCCGGGCGAAGUACGAACAGAAGUUGUUUCUGGUGGGGCUUCCUCAGUCAGACGUGCCUCUGGGACAGCAGCUCCUGCGGGCCGUGGUGGAGGACGACCUGAGGCUGGUGGUUCUCCUGCUUGCCCACGGCACCAAAGAAGAGGUCAACGAAACGUAUGGGGACGGAGACGGACGUACCGCCCUGCACCUGUCCUGCGCCAUGGCUAAUGUGGUCAUCACACAGCUGCUCAUCUGGUACGGCGUGGACGUGAAGAGUCGCGACGCCCGUGGUCAGACGCCGAUGUGCUACGCCCAGCGAGCAGGAAGUCAAGAGUGCGUCGACAUCCUUAUCCAACACGGUUGUCCCUGUGAUGACGGCGGAGGACCGUCGACACCCACGGCCACCCGACACAAUCCCAACAUCAACAACAACGCUCAAUGCGAGCUGAACCGUAGUGUUAGCAUCAUGUGAUUGUGGCCCGCAGUGUCUCUAGUGUCUGAUGUUGAUGUUCCCAUAGAUGCUGCUCUCGUUAAAUAGCAUCAUUUCCCCAGCAGUACAGUACGUCUUUAUUAGGAAACUGUGCGUAGUGCCACGUGUGUCACGUAAAACCCAUUACCCCCAUGACGACUUCCUGUGACCAAUGUUAGCGUACGGCGAGAAUUAGCAGUGUUAACGUGUUAUUUUUAAGCUGAAGAAAAUUAGGUUUUUAAGGAUCCUUUUUUUGUGUGUGUAUAGAACAAAAAAAUGAAAUUAUGGGCAAUAGGUUCUAAAGAUAAGUUUGAUUUUUUUUAAGGUACAUUGGUUUAGAAAUAAUGAGAUGACAGUAAUGCAUUGGGCCCAUGUGUUUAUGUCCAUAAGAACAUUAAAUUAUGUUGUUAAAGGGGAAGUUCUGUUAAUAUUUACUGUCCCUCAUGUCAUUCCAAACUUCUUUCUUCUGCUGAAUACACACACACACACACACACACACAAAAGAUGUCUGGAAGAAUAUGGGCAACCAACGAGUUUUGGUUCGCAUUGUUUUCAAUAUGUUUUAUGCAAAUUACCAUAAAUGCUUCACUAAAUUCAGCUGAUUUUUCUGAUUUAUGCUUAAAAAAACAAAAACAUUUAAGUGCAUAUUUCACUAAAACUUCACACAUUUUAAAGUUGUACUACCAUUGUGCCCUUAAACGAAGCUCAAAAACACUAAGGCUACUGGGUAAAACAUUACCAUGUGUGCCAUCAGUGCAAUAUAACAAAACCCAAAUCAUCAUACUGCUAUUUUACAUUUAGCCUUUACGUGAUUGUCUUGGAAGGGCUUGAUAAAUACUGUGUUAUUGCGGAUGCCUUGUGUGAAUCAUUUCUGGACCGGUCUAAAGUGUUCUUCUAAUUGUUUGAUACUGAUGUCCCUCUCCUGCCUAAUGACAGAUCCAUUCAGUAGCAGCGGACAGUACCGACACACUAGAUUACACUCUCGCCGUUUACUCCUGUGAGAGUGUGUUUGUUACGAGUCUAAUGACCUCCACACUUGUGACUGUGUGGCUGUUUUUGUAUCCAUUAGAAUCCAGACGUGUGUUUCUAAUCAAAUGGGAUCGUGAUGUGGAUAAUGUACAGAUGUGUGUAGAAAAUAGCUUUUCCUGCUCCUUGUUGCAGCUAAUUGUGUGUCGUGUGGGCAAUUUCUGGAUGAGAUGGCCGUUAUGUACCCAUCUGAAACCUAUCAGCCUUAACCCUUGUUUGCUAGUGUGUAUGCCGUCAACUUUUACUUGAAAUAUGAAAUCAUGAUUAAAACUUAAUUAAUAUUUGGCACAUGUGAGUUAAAGGGAACGCGGUAAAGCGAGAGGGAGAUGUUGAACCUUCCUUACCAGACAGUAUUUUAAGUUUACAUUAUUAGGCGUUUUACCUUCUAGCAGGUACGUUUUCUUUCUUAUUCGAGUCAGAGUUGUACAUGCAACCCUCAUCUAACUAAGCUUUAGGAGAAUUGCCAUUGAUUUUAAAUGCAACGUAAUUCUGGAGGCUCAUCCCCAACAGCAUGCAUGGAAAGUUACCCUGUUGUUCUUCAAAAGUGAAUAUGUAUCACUUUUUUUUUAUUAUUUUAUUUUUAUUUUUUUAUUAUUUUUUUUUAUAUACGCUGUGCUUGGGCUCCUUUGUAUGACAUGAGGUUGCUAAGAUGAGCUUUUGGGAAUAUGGCAGUUGAAAAUUAUAAACACUUUCCCAUCAUCCCUGCGACUGCCGGCUUAUUGAAUGUUGGGAUGAGCACGUAAAGUUCCUCAAGUAGCCAUAUAGCAGAGAGAAGCACCGUUUUGUUUUAAAGUUGUUUUUGGUACCUGGUUUUGGGUCUCAAUGUGUCCACAUUGUCUGGCCGUUAAGGUACUUUGUGUAUUAUAUGUACAUUUGACAUAUUUAUAAAAGCAAGAUGUAAAUAAUUCCUUUUGUUGUUGCUUUUAUUGAGCUGUUUGAUAACUUUCUGUCCGUUCUUUUAAUUUGCCAUUGUUUUUAAAUGCUCCUUCUGAACAUGAUGGAGAACUUUCAUGAGAGUUAGCUGUUGUGUGAUUGGAUGCUUGGCUGGCUAUAAUAAACACUCCAAUAAAAUGAUUUAUACCAUGAA